Molecule: non-coding RNA, 148 nt
Filed under: Gorilla gorilla gorilla (western lowland gorilla)
Lineage: Eukaryota; Metazoa; Chordata; Mammalia; Primates; Hominidae
Source: Rfam by way of RNAcentral
GCUGGGUGUGGUAGUGCAUGCCUGUAAUCCCAGCUACUUGGGAGGCUGAGGCAGGAGAAUGGCUUGAACCCAGGAGGUGGAGAUUGCAGUGAGCCGAGAUCGCACCACUGCACUCUAGCCUGGGUGACAGAGUGAGACUCUGUCUCAA